CGGCGUCCGUCGUCCGUCAACGUUAACUUUUACAAAAAUCUUCCCCUCUGAAACUGCUGGGCCAAAUUUAACCAAACAUGGCCAAAAUCAUUAUUAGGGUAUCUAGUUUAAAAAUUGUGUCCGGUGACCCGGCCAACCAACCAAGAUGGCCGCCAUGGCUAAAAAUAGAACAUAGGGGUAAAAUGCAGUUUUUGGCUUAUCACUCAAAAACCAAAGCAUUUAGAGCAAAUCUGACAUCGGAUAAAAUUCUUUAUCAGGUCAAGAUCUAUCUGCCCUGGAAUUUUGAGAUGAAUUGGACAACCCGUUGAUAGGUUGCUGCCCCUGAAUUGGUAAUUUU
This 337-nucleotide long non-coding RNA is filed under the name Mytilus galloprovincialis (Mediterranean mussel). The record is from RNAcentral. Lineage: Eukaryota; Metazoa; Mollusca; Bivalvia; Mytilida; Mytilidae.